GCUGAAGACUCAUGGUAGCAUGUGACCCAACGAGGAACAUUUAUUUUUCCAACCUCUGGCAACAUGGUGUUGGUUAGCACACACAGAAACUGAUGUCUACACGUAUUGGCCUAAGAUCGACAAAUCAUUGCAGACUCUUUGCUGUUAACACUCCUUGUUUUGCAACGGGAAGGGGAGGCUGGACCAUAAAAGCUGGUGACUAAGACGAAGGAAAUCCUGUCUGAACUAAGAUUGUCUUGGUGGGAGCUGGGGGAGCCUUGUAACCCGGUAGGAAUCAGCAGGAAGCGAAGGUGGUUUUGAGAUAGGAAGGAGAGGAUCUCAGCGGAAUCUGGCGCUACAUUGUAACUUGCACGGUUGUUACAGUUGGGAGAUGACCAAGUAAGGAAGAAAGGGAAGGGGGUGGUUUUCCUCCCUGGAAUUCCCAACUGGAACCUUUCACCCACUGGUCUUCCUCACCUGGGCCAGAAGGAAACAGGUUGUCUGUGUGUCUUGCCCAUCCUGACCAUGGAGCCACGGCCGACCCCGAGGACCACCAAGGCCCUGCUCAGAAUCCAAUCCAGGAUACCAACCACACUGCACUUAGAGGGGCAGGAUUUACAAAAGAACUCAAGACUUCAAGAGGCAGCCUCACUCAUGGGGCAGAGAAGCUUCUCACAUCCUGAAGAUAAAAUGCCUACUGCAGCAUAUUUAUUUUUAAGUCACAUCCUGCAGCAGCACACAUGCUUACCUGGAAAAGUAUUUCCAUCCCAGUGUCACAAUUGGGAAGGGUGGGGGCCAGCUCACCACACAGGGGAGCACCUACAGCGGGUGUGGGUGCCCUGACCACCUGGAGCACCCCAGCAUGGAUACCAUACAACACAAUGUUCCACCUUCCCCAAGUCCCAGAGUCAAGUGAUCCCAUACAACACAACAUUCCACCUUCCCCAUGUCCCAGAGUCAAGUGAUCCCAUACAACACAACGUUUCACCUUUCCCCAUGUCCUAGAGCCAGGUGAUCCCAUACAGCACAACGUCUCAUGUCUCCAUGUCCCAGAGCCAAGGAGUUAAGUGACUUGACCUGGGGUCACACAGCCAGUUAGUAGGGCUUUGUGUAGUCAGUGGCCCCAGAG
RNAcentral lists this long non-coding RNA (1108 nucleotides) under Vulpes vulpes (red fox). Its description in RNAcentral is "lncRNA (ENSVVUG00000020571.1)". Lineage: Eukaryota; Metazoa; Chordata; Mammalia; Carnivora; Canidae. The record is from RNAcentral.